UGCAACUCGACUGCGUGAAGUCGGAAUCGCUAGUAAUCNCGGAUCAGCAUGCCGCGGUGAAUACGUUCCCGGGCCUUGUACACACCGCCCGUCACACCAUGAGAGUCGGGAACACCCGAAGUCCGUAGCCUAACCGCAAGGGGGGCGCGGCCGAAGGUGGGUUCGAUAAUUGGGGUGAAGUCGUAACAAGGUACC
RNAcentral lists this ribosomal RNA (195 nucleotides) under uncultured bacterium. RNAcentral describes it as "partial 16S ribosomal RNA". It matches the Rfam family "Bacterial small subunit ribosomal RNA", at positions 1306 to 1500 of the family's 1533-position model. The record is from RNAcentral.